CUAAAUUUCUGCAACUUGCUGGGAAAGGAUAAAACCAAGUACCGCUUGAAGCAAAUUUACACCUGUGCACUUUAAUGUCUUUUGGGAGAAGCUGUAUAGCGACUCCCAGCAUUGAUAAACACCUAUUGACCAAGUCUGAACAAUUUAUUUAAAAUAUAAA
RNAcentral lists this unclassified non-coding RNA (160 nucleotides) under uncultured Rhizophydiales. Its description in RNAcentral is "sequence contains ITS1". Lineage: Eukaryota; Fungi; Chytridiomycota; Chytridiomycetes; Rhizophydiales. The record is from RNAcentral.